Molecule: ribosomal RNA, 325 nt
Filed under: uncultured eukaryote
Lineage: Eukaryota
Description: partial 18S ribosomal RNA
Rfam family: Eukaryotic small subunit ribosomal RNA
Source: RNAcentral
CCCUUAGAUGUUCUGGGCUGCACGCGCGCUACACUGAUGCAUUCAACGAGCCUAUCCUUGACCGACAGGCCCGGGUAAUCUUUGAAUCUGCAUCGUGACGGGGAUAGAUUAUUGCAAUUAUUAAUCUUCAACGAGGAAUGCCUAGUAGGCGCAAGUCAUCAGCUUGCGUCGAUUACGUCCCUGCCCUUUGUACACACCGCCCGUCGCUCCUACCGAUUGGGUGUGCUGGUGAAAUGUUCGGAUCGGCCGUUUGUCGCGGUUUCCGCGUCAUGUGGCUGAGAAGUUCAUUAAACCCUCCCACCUAGAGGAAGGAGAAGUCGUAACA